This 269-nucleotide transfer-messenger RNA is filed under the name Bartonella sp. Its description in RNAcentral is "partial ssrA". It matches the Rfam family "Alphaproteobacteria transfer-messenger RNA", at positions 67 to 334 of the family's 355-position model. From Rfam's summary of the family: Bacterial tmRNA, also known as 10Sa RNA or SsrA, is named for its dual tRNA and mRNA-like properties. Its role is to liberate the mRNA from a stalled ribosome. The record is from RNAcentral. Lineage: Bacteria; Pseudomonadati; Pseudomonadota; Alphaproteobacteria; Hyphomicrobiales; Bartonellaceae.
GGACAAUGAAAUAAGCUUAUUGGACCCGGGGGCGGUACCCGGCGCCUCCACCAAAAUAUAAUUUGUUUUUUUAUAUUUUAGUGGGGGCGAAACAGGAUCGACAAAAGUGUAAAGAUUGCUCUUUUACUCGGUAUAGUACCACCGUUAUCGGACUAAAUGAGUAGUUGCAAAUGACAACUAUGCGGAAGUACGUCUCGCUGCCUGAGGUGGUGUGAAUGCUUCAAACUAAGUCUUAAACCGUCGCAGGUUUAAGCGGGGUUCGAAGGCAC